GACACUCCAGUCAGCCACAAGCAGUUGAAGCAACCACCUGCAGAUCUUCCCCAUCCCAUGGGCUGUCAGCUGAGGAUGUUUCUAGAGAAGGACCCUGCUUUGGAGGCAGACUGUAACUGAAAUGCACCUGAAAUGCUCCCAAGACAUAAAACCUGACCAAGGCAUCUUUAGAAAUGAGAAGUGAUGUGGUCACAUGGCUCAAAAUAUCAAUACUCCUCCUGGGCAGGAUCAGUAAGUUGUGGAACUUCAUGGGAAGUCUGUGUUUAAGCACAAGAGUGCUCCAGAAAAGUUAUUAUUGCUGGUGGAUCAUUCAGGACCAUACAUUUCCAUCUCCUUCAGCCACAAUGACUCUUGCUUCAGCUAAUGAGAUGAAAACCCAGCUUCAUGUGGAGGAUUACUGGAUGUCUGAGCAGUG
Molecule: long non-coding RNA, 415 nt
Filed under: Zonotrichia albicollis (white-throated sparrow)
Lineage: Eukaryota; Metazoa; Chordata; Aves; Passeriformes; Passerellidae
Description: lncRNA (ENSZALG00000015863.1)
Source: RNAcentral